CUUUGAGUUCUCCAAGGAUACCAGCUUCCCACCAAACUGUGGGUAAACAAACCAAAACCGCACAGAUAGUCUGCGGAUCCACUUGGGUGGCUUCUUCAAGGGGUUUACUGCAGCUGGAGGGGCAGUGGACUGAGGCAGCUGAAGCGGGGGCAACGUUUGUCCUGUCCCAAAAGGAUCCAUGUUCCCAAACGAGAUGCCGAUGUGUCCGUCGAAGCUUGCGGCCGACAGCACUGCAGGGUUCCUGGGACACCACUGGAUGUCAAAGCACCACUGGCUGCUGGUGGGCAACUCGUACAGCACCUAAGUUAAGCAGGAUGAUUACUUACUGUCAUACUUUGGGGUCUCUUGUAACCCAUCUUUCAAAGAAUCCAGAUGAUGAAAUAAAAAAAUACUGAGCUGUAAAAAGUAAUGUUUGCUACAAUCCUUUGUGGUAAACAGCUCUUCUAAUGCCUUAAUGAUAAAUGCACAUCAUAGUGUUGUGUCAGAAAUGAUGUAGGAAUAUGCAUCACUGCCAAAAAUGAAGAAGAAAUCAGUGUGUUCACCCAGUGUUCCCACCAAUGCUGAUCAGAGCUGAAGCCAAUGAAAAAAACAUGUGCAUUGCAGAGUCAUUUGACCCAGUAGAGGAUACGAAUCAAACACAUUCCCACUGGUCAAAAACCCAUUAAAAACAUAAGAUUAAAUGGGGCAUUUGAGACAUUUACAGUCAAAUUUUACCUCUGCUGUGUUUGGAUUCCAGCACAGGAUCCUGCUGUCCUUCCCACAGCUCAGGAGCAGCUCAGGAUCAGCCAAGCUCCAAGAGAUGGCGAGCACACCCCUGGACAUAAAGACCGGCACCGUUAUGUCAAAAAAAAAGCUGUUGAUAUAUAAUAUUUUCUUCCUGUCAUCAAGUCCCAUUAAAUGACCAAAAACAAAA
Molecule: long non-coding RNA, 913 nt
Organism: Solea senegalensis (Senegalese sole)
Lineage: Eukaryota; Metazoa; Chordata; Actinopteri; Pleuronectiformes; Soleidae
Exons: 3
Source: RefSeq, a predicted model, not a curated record